Molecule: long non-coding RNA, 1014 nt
Organism: Asparagus officinalis (garden asparagus)
Lineage: Eukaryota; Viridiplantae; Streptophyta; Magnoliopsida; Asparagales; Asparagaceae
Exons: 4
Source: RefSeq, a predicted model, not a curated record
AAAUUUUCACCCAGGACCGGCAGCGCCAAAUUUUCAUCCCCAAAUUAAUAUCUCAGCCCACCUUCAAAUCCGCCUCCACCUCUUUCAAACCAAAAAAAAAAAAUGCCCCCUUCUCCCAAAAUCUAGGGUUUCUCUCGCUCUCUUGAGACCCCUUUUCUGGCUGCUCUCGCUCUUCUUCUUCCUCAAUCCCCUCAAUUUCUCAAGCGGACUCUGAUUCUUCUCUCGUCGACGGUGACCAGAUCCCCGAUUCGUCACUUGAAGAAGUUUUGGAGAAUCCCCAACUUCUCUGCUUCGUCUCCGGUUAAUUCUACGGUGACCAGAUCCCCGAUUCUAAGUUAUUUUGUGAACCAGGUUCCCUUUCAUUGCUUGUGAAAUUUUCACUUGUGAGAUUGAUGUUAUUUUGAAGACAUUAGUAGAGGACGAAGAGCUGAUGGAUCUGCUAUUCUCCUUUCUUGAACCAAACCAUACACACAAUUCCUUAUUGUCUGGAUACUUCAGCAAGGUGGUUGUAUGCUUAAUGUUAAGGAAGACAACAUCACUUAUGAAGUAUGUUCAGGUAAGUUAUUGACCCAUGUGAGCUGCUUUUUUGAAAAACUAUUUUCUUUCACAGCUUCAAAUAAUUAUUUGAUUUCCUUUUUAGCUUAUUUCCUGUUUAAACCUGAAUCUAGCUAUAUAAAUAUUUUAAUUUUAUGUUGAUAAUAUUUGCACUUUCUUUUUAUCUCUUGAAAAGUUAUUUAUCUUCGAAUACACAAGGAGAAAACCACAAGCAUUAAGUUCUUGAUAUUUUGUCUGUAUGCUGUAUUGAUUAUAAUUGUUAGUUUUAUAACCUUGUCUGUGCUACUUUUUUAACUUAGAAUCAGUCAUGUUUUGUAUACCGACCAUGUUGGUAUUUACACAUGCUUUGGGUUAAGUAGUAUAAAGUUUUUGAACUUACAAACAUAUGUUAUACAUUCACGUCUUUCCAUUUUGGAGUAAGGCUAGGUAUUCAAUCUGUACAAUUCCUUUGUUUCACUU